Molecule: RNA transcript, 5802 nt
Organism: Hypanus sabinus (Atlantic stingray)
Lineage: Eukaryota; Metazoa; Chordata; Chondrichthyes; Myliobatiformes; Dasyatidae
Gene name: SCAN domain-containing protein 3-like
Exons: 3
Source: RefSeq, a predicted model, not a curated record
UUCCCAGAUCAUUUCUCUAGAAAUGCCAUAGGUUCUUUUACUUCUGCUCGAGAGAUGAUUGGCGAUUUGGUUAUUUUUUCAUUUCAACUUUGGUGACGUAACAUUCCCUUACUACGAAGCCGGACUAUUCGCCCCGAGGCUGCAUUUUCAAAGUGUACCCAUUUCCCCACAGUGAUGAAAGAGAGCCCAUCUACCCCCACCCCCAUCACUCCGACACAAUACGAAAUGCUACAAGAGAAAAAGGAAUAUGGAAAGUAAAGAACAUCGAGCGACGGGACAGAGGGAGGAGAGAAAGAGAGAGAACAAAGACUGGAUGUUCAUAUAAACUAUACAGUGGCAGUUUCCGGGGUUCUUGUACAAAUCGAUCCAGACCCGGAUCCCUCAGUGACUAGAGUCUGUGAAAGAGUACAGAAUCGGGUUUGUUUACAGAAGCCUCAGCGAGUAACGUCCCGGAAUGUGCUGUCAGCCAAUCACAAUGGUGGAAUUGGGAGAAGGAUCUAGAGAACGCAGGUGUAGGUGGAGAUCUUUUUAGCGGGAGCCGGAAGAUGGCUGAGGAUGCCAUCCCUGUUGCACAAGGUGCUUUGUGCAGAUGAAUGGCUUCAAUGAGAAGGACCAAUAUUACCAUGGGGGAGCUCGUUUGUUUGAGAUGGAUUUUGAGCGACACUUGGAAGACGGUGUGAUUCUUCACAGAGCCCGAGGGUCCAGUGCACAAGUUACUAACAACUUCAAAAUAAGCACCAAUUUAUGUGCACAGUUGACUGCUUAAUUACAAUUGGUCCUUUUUGUUUUUUUCUUUCUUUUCUUUAAUAAAUCUUUGCUUAAGUUAACAUACAUAAAUAUAUUUUCUUUAUAAUUGCAUGCAGUGUAUGAUUUGUUAUUCCUUGCCAACAGGCAGUAAAUAGCACAGCAAUCACACAAACUGGGGGUUGGGUAGGCGAGACAACCCAAUCUCAUGGGUUUGGCAGGACCAAAUAUACACCCUAGAAUUACAGAGCCUGAGAAAGGUGGUUUCCUAGUUGUGGAGUCCAGUGGCUGUUAGCUUGGGGCUAACAAGUUGCAUUUUCAGAGACACCCAGUAAUAAAGGGUUUCACUGGUGAUUAUCAUCCUGGAUUGAAUGCAUUGAAUGCUGUGUGAUUGCCCAAAGAAUUGAUUAAGUGGUUUUGUGUGUGUUAAACUAUUGUCCAGGUAAAAUGAGUGGCCGCAGGGAUUAAGUUUUGGUGCGAUUCAGAGAUUGACCAUAACUAAUGCUUGUGUUCUGAGUGGGGUGGAUAUCCACAACCCAGAUGAAUUGGUGACUAGAGUUUUAAGUUCUGUUAAAGCAUUAGGGGAAACUUACGAUCAUGGAGCGGCACUUUGAACAAACGGUGGACAAAGUAUGGUUUUAGUUCAGACUAGUGAUAAUGUGACAGCAGUCGAUCUGCCUGUUACUAAUGGGGUCCCAAGAGAGGAAGGGCCAAGCAAGGGCUGUCUAUAGAAGAGGGACGUGUAGGCGAGGCUGCUAAAUCGAAAGUCGAGUUUCCCAUAGCUGAGGGUGGAGACUUUAAAGAAAAAUUGCUCUCAUUUCUGCUGAGUGAGAGGAAGGAGUUGUCUGAUGUGAUAGGUCCAGUGAGUCCUUCAGCUGUUGAUUUAAAUUCUGAGCUCAUUUUGGCUAUUACAUCACUGGUUGAUAAAUGCAGAAAUAUAUCUGUGGAGAGCCACAGUUAUUGUAGGCUGGGGGUGUUCUCUAGGGUCAAGCUCACAGCCUGAUGCGGACGAAAAAUGAGGCAUGGGCUGAGCAGACAUUUCAGUUACUGGGUAAAUGGCAGUGCUCAGAUAUGAAAAAACUGAGACCUGGUAGAGAGCUUAAAGGGGCCAGUGGCUGAUACAGUGAGAUCCUUAACGCAGAAAAUCCAUUAGCCACGUCAGCUAAUUAUCUGCAAGCUCUGGAAGAUGCUGGAAGUGCAGCCGAUCUCAGGAUGAAGCUUAGGCACACAUUCCAGGAGGAAGGAGAGAAGCUGUCUGCCUACAUUUUCAGGUUGGAGAAGCUGCUGCACUGUUUGUGCCACAAACGGGGCAUUCAGCUGUCUGAAAGAAAUUGCUUGACGAUAGAGCAAGUUGUGAAGGGCAAAUUGUCACAUGACGCGAUUGCUCUACGUAUUCAAAUGACCCACAAGAUGUGCCCUCCUCCACCUUUUACCAAGUCACUCAGAGAAGUCAGGGAGGAGGAAAAUGCGAUGGAGGAGUGGGAGUCCUCCGUCAGCAGGGCACAGUCCUUGGCAGUAGCCUCUGCUGCUGAAACGACCUCUAGUGCCAUACAGGUGGGGGGUUUGCAGGAUUUUGUGAAAGAUUUGAGAGCUGAGGUAUUCCGGUCGAUACUGGUACCAAGCAUGACAAAGUCGAUAGGGAGUCGGACCCACUGAUGGAAUGUACCAAGGAGAGGGCUGCUGCUGAGUGGGGUCCCUCGACCAGGGGAGCAACUGGUGUUUUCUGUUACAUCCGUGGCAUUGACUUUUCAAGCGGGAGUGUGAAGGACACACCAAAAUCUUUGGAAAGUAAAUCAGCAGUUAAUCAGACAGAAGAAAAGAGAUAAGACUACAAAGGGACCUAGUAAAGGAAUGGGCGGACAUUUCAGAGAGGAUACGACAGUGUAUCAAAGGUAACACUAAAGUACCAAACACUAUUUCUGAAGGAUUAGUGGGACCAAGCUCUGCUGUUUCUAUACAGAUUGAAGGUGUUUAUGCUAGAGUCAUACUUGACACAGGUUCUCAAGUUACUUUGCUUUAUAGAUCCUUUUACAACUGGUAUUUGACACAUUUAUCAUUGACACCACUCAGUGCCCUUGAGAUUUGGGGCUUAGUGCUGAUGAGUACUCAUAUGACAGUUACUUGUCGUUGAAGCUGGAAUUUUUGGAAGCAGAUGUUGGAGUAACUGAGACUACCGACACACUAGUUGGUCUGCCCGGAUCCAGUUAAAAUGGGUGGAGCUUCCAUUUUUGUGGGAACAAAUACUACCGUUGUGAGAAGGCUCCUGUGAGCAUGCAAGGAGAGAAAUUGAAACAACUUUUUGAAAAUCUUGUCCAUUCACCCUGUGUUCAGAGCUGCUUUUGAGAGGGUGCAAGUUUCUCCCAAGCAGGAUGAUGAGCAGAAACGAGGAACUGUGUGGUAACCCAGUCUAAACCUGUUACGUUACAUCCUGAACCCCUGAAUUUGCUGGAAUAUCCACAGAAUGUAGAAGGUUAACUGAGAAGAUGUUAGGGUAUGAAGAGGCAUUUUCUACUGACGAGUCUGAUGUUGAUUACUCCAAGAAUACUUGCCACACUAUUGAAGCGACUGAGGACACCCCCUUCUGAGAGAGGUCUCGCUGGUUAGCACUAGCAGAGGUCGAGCAUAUUUGGCUACACUGGCUUAAACUGACAUUAAGUAAAAUUUGGUUAUGGAGUAGGGGGACACGAGCCACUGAAAGACAUGGGUGAUGGACAGGGAGAGGCACCCUCCAGAAGACAGAAAGGGUCACAAGGGGUGGUUGAAGCUCGAGGAACUGAAGAUAGGAUAAGGAGGUAUCAAAGAAUCAGGACACCCCCAGAUAGGUUGGUCUAUGAUACACUGGGGUAACAGAGUGUUGCUUUCAGAACGAGGGGGUCACAGUUUAAGGAUAAAGGGGAAGCCUUUUAGGACCGAGAUGAGGAAAGACUUCUUCACACAGAGAGUGGUGAAUUUGUGGUAUUCUCUGCCACAGUAAACAGUUGAGGCCAGUUCAUUGGCUAUAUUUAAGAGGAAGUUAGUUAUGGCCCUUGUGGCUAAAGGGAUCGGGGGUAUGGAGGGAAAGCAGGUACAGGGUUCUGAGUUGGAUGAUCAGCCAUGAUCAUACUGAAUGGCGGUGUAGGCUCGAAGGGCCGAAUGGCCUACUCCUGCACCUAUUUUCUACGUUUCUAUGUUUCUUUUCCCCCUAAUGAGAUCUGUCACCACCAUUUACAAAUGGAUUGGAGGUCCUAACAUCACAAAAUUCCUUUGAAAAUUGUAUUAAUAUUAUGUUGAUAAAUUUAUUUUAUGAUUGCUAUGAGUUGUAGUUUUUUUGACCAUUGUAUAUAUAACAGCAUAAUAUUUUACCUAUUUGAUUUUGACAUUAUAUAUUUUCUAGUUUUUAUUAUUGCUGUUUAUAUGUCUUCAAUAUUAUGUUUGCUAAACUCCUCUGAUCUGUAUAUCCUCUAUUUGAAAAUCAAUAAAAAGAUUGAAAAAUGAAAUGAAUGAUGAAUUUCAAAGUCAUGAGGACAUGACUAUUUUUGGUAAGGGGAGAGUGUAAUGCCCUGAUUACGAUUGUUACCGUUAUGCUGUAGGUAUUUCAGUCCAGCAGUUCUGUAAGAGCAGUCUACUCUGCUUUCUGCCUGUUUGAAUUCGAGCUGAGUCAAGGGGCUUUGUUGUUCAGCUUAGGAUAUGAUGUCAGCCAAGCACAAUGGUGGAACUGGGAAAAGGUUGGUGGGGGGAGGUCUUUUUUGGCGGGAGCUGGAGAACACAAGAGAGAAGUUGGCUGAGGAUGCCAUCUCUGUUGCACAAGGUGCUUUGUGCCGAUGAAUGGCUUCAAGGAGUAAGAGCCAAUGCUCCCAUGGGAGACCCUGUUUGUUUGAGAUGGAUUUUGAUUGACAUUCAGAAGAUGGUGUGUGCUUUCAUGUAGACCGAGGGUUCAGCAUGUGAGUUACUGACAACGUCAAGAUGAGCUCCAACUUGCGUGCGCAUUUGACUGUUUAAUUAUAAUAGGCCCUUUUUGUUUUUUUUUUACUUUCUUUUCUUUAAUAACUCCUUGGUUAUGUUAAUGCUCAUAAAUAUAUAUUCUUUAUAGUUGUAUGCAAUGCACAGUCUGUUAUUUUUUUUGCCGACGACUGAUUGCAGUGGGGCAGUAAAUCACAUUCACACAAACUGGGGUUUGGGUGGGCGAGAUAUCCCACCUGGGGGGGGUUAGCAAGACCAAAGUCAUAUAAACCUAAAAUUACGGAGCCUCAGAAAGGUGGUUUCCUCACUUCAGAGUCCAAUGGCUGUUAGCAAGCUGCAUUUCCAGAGAUGCCCAGUAAUAAAAGGUUUCAUAAACGUCUGAACUUUAAUCUAAGCCAUUAUUAUUUCAAUACUGGUGCUUUGGAUUAAGUACAGCAAAAACAUUUGAUUGUAAUUGCUUCAUGUUGUUUUUCAAAUAGUUCCUCAAAAAAAAACAUGUGGUUAAAAAUAAAUGUACUGAUGCAACACAGGAAGAGCCACCUUUGCCACAUUUGCAGAAAUCUGGGUUCACCCCGACCUUAGAUGCUGUAUGGAACUUCCACAUUCUCCUUACAACAGUAUGGAUUUCCCCCGGGUACUUUGGUUUCUUCCUACAUGUCAACCACAUCCUCUGAGCUAAUUUGCUGUUGUAGAUUACUUCUAGUGCUUGGAGGCUGCGGGCAUAGAUGAUUAAAGUACGUGUGAUAGAAUAGGUUAAAGGGAAAUAAAUAGGAAAAAUGGUAUUAAUCUAAGAACCGGUGUGGUUCAUGUCAUCUCCUAUUUUGUAAUAAAAUAUGGAAAUGCAGAUCAUGGCUAGUCUAUGGAAUAAAAGAGAAAACUCCAUUCCAAAGUGAUUCUGUAUAUGCUUAGCAUAUAGUUAUUGCUUAAAAAAAUAAAAAAAUACAGUACUGUCAGGAUGAUGUCCAAAUUUUGUUUAAAUUGUUGCUUAUAAGUUACAUUACAAAUACUAUUCUUUGCAAAUAUGUUUUCAACAGUGGUUUACCAUUAAAAAAUUGUUCAGUCUAUUAUGGAAUCUUUAACAACCACAGGAAGAAACUGCUCUAAAAUAAUUCAAGUUUU